GAUAUCUAGUCGUCGACCACUUCCGAGGUAAGUUUUAAGUGAUUAAACGUUGAGUAAAUUCAAUCAUAAUAGGACAUGAUGAGUUGAUUUAAUAAGAUAUGAUGUGGCCAUGAUAUGUUCUAAGCUCAAAUGGUAAGUUCUUAAGUGUUUGAGCUUGGGAAUUUAAGUGUAAAUUGAAAUAGUCUGCUUAGGACAGCAGCAGUAACGUGACUUUAGAAGAUCACCAUAAAUUUAUGGACUUGAAUUAGAGGCUGAAUGAAACAUGAAAUUAAAGCUUAAUGAGUCUAGUUUCUUAUAAAAGAAACCGUGUAAGCAAAGGAAUUUCCGAUAAUGAGAUAUUUAAAGUUGUGUGAGACAGUGCAGAAUGACACUGUCAUCCUCUGUUCUGUUUUUAGAUAAUCAUUAUAAAUUGUACAAAAAUUUUUAAAAGACAAUUUAUAUUCUAGAUGCCUUAGUGAGUCUAGUUUCAAAUGAAAUAAACUAGAACAUAUUUUGAAUUUUUUACAAUGAGAAAUUUGAUUCGUAGUGAAGAGUGGUCAGCAUAGUCAAAUGGUGAAAUAGGGGAAACUUUAAGAAAAAUCUGGCAUUGAUUGGCCAAACCAAAAAUUCUGAAAAUUUGUUGGAUAAAAUAUGUAUGAGUCUAUUUUCAGGGAAAAUUAACGGCACUUCAUUUGGAGUUUCGUAGCUCCAUUUACGAAUAAUUUAAUAACUGUUGCUCAGGAAAAACAGCUUGUGCUGAAUUUGUGAUUAUGUUGUAAACCUUAAUAAAACUAUUUGAGUUGCUUAUAAGCUAUCGAUUAAAUAUUGGUAAUCAAAGUACCAAAUCCGUAUUAAAUUGAAGCUGUAAGCCGUAAAUGACUAGUAUACCUAGUCAAUUUUGUUAUGAUGAAAUUGAUGUACAAGAUAUGUAUAUGUGAUAAGGCCGAAUGGCCAAUGUGAUGAAUGUGAAAGUGUAUAUAUGUGAUAAGGCCGAAUGGCCAAUGUGAUGAAUGUGAAAGUGUAUAUAUGUGAUAAGGCCGGGUGGCCAACGUGAUGAAUGUGAAAGUGUGUAUAUGUGAUAAGGCCUAAUGGCCAAUGUGAUGAAUGUGAAAGUGUAUAUAUUUGAUAAGGCCGAAUGGCCAAUGUGAUGAAUGUGAAAGUGUAUAUAUGAUAUAAGACCUAAUGGCUAUUGUGAUGGAUGUGAAAGUGUAUAAAUGUGAUAAGUCCCGAAGGGCAUUUGUAUCCGUACUAUAUCCAAGUUAAAACCCCGCAGGCUUUAUGCGAGAAUAUUAUCCUGAUUAAUGUCCGUAGGCUUCGUGCUCGUACUAUAUCCGAGCUUUAAAGACCUGACGGCUAAAUGCUAGGAUUCAAGUAAGACUUUGAUAUUGAGUAUCUGCAAUGAGUUACCAUCAAAUAAGUAUUAUGUAUUUAAGAUGUUCAGGUACGUAUUACUUACUCAUCGGUGGAGUGAUUUCGAGGUGAAUUAUCAGUAUCAAAGAGGUAGGUAAAUGUGAUUAAUAUUAUAACUCCAAAUAGGAGAAUGAUCUAAUUGGUAAUGGUAUGCUUGUAUAAUGAAGUAUGCGAUGAAAUAUUCUUAUGUAUUAGUGCAUAUUCUGCCCAAAAGCCUUAUGAUUUGAGUAUGGGUUGGGUUUAGCUAGAUGUGCCAGUACAAGGUAAAGAUUAUGUUUUGUAAGCUUACGUAUAUGUGAUAAAGAAUAUGUUUGGUUCUUUAUGUGCCUACAGUAAUUUAGUACUUGUCAUGUUGAAAUACUUAAAAAUAUGGAUGUGAUUAUGAACAAGUGGAAAGGAUUAUUGAAAGUUGAAAAUUGAUGAAGAAUGUGCUUUGGAAAUAUUUGACCAUCUAGGUCAUUAUUAUUCAAAAGUGUAUAUGUGACAGCCAAGUGAUGCGUUUAUUGAUAUUAUAGUUUGAGAUGAAGCUCUAGAUUAACUUCAUCGAACAGUUGAAAUGAAUGACCAAUAAUAGUGAAUGAGAACACUUUGUUUUGCUUAAAACUUACUAAGCUUACAAAAGCUUACUCUGUUCGAUCAUGUUUUGGUUUAUAGGUUGUGGAUUCUGACUACCAGUUCGGGGAUCAUCAGCACUUCGUCACACUAUCUACCAUUACGGCAACUAUGUAAUUAGACUUAGCUUAUGGCAUGUAUAGGAUAGACAAUAUGGUAGAAUGAUAUUUUGACUAUUGUAUAUAAGCCAUAUGAAAAUGGCAUCUUUUGAAUGUUUACUUAUAGAAGUUUACAUUUUAUCCCUGGCUGUGUUUAGUGU
Molecule: long non-coding RNA, 2260 nt
Filed under: Gossypium barbadense (sea-island cotton)
Lineage: Eukaryota; Viridiplantae; Streptophyta; Magnoliopsida; Malvales; Malvaceae
Description: long non-coding RNA (GBAR_LNC007631)
Source: RNAcentral